RNAcentral lists this long non-coding RNA (1145 nucleotides) under Actinidia chinensis (golden kiwifruit). RNAcentral describes it as "long non-coding RNA (ACHI_LNC006485)". Lineage: Eukaryota; Viridiplantae; Streptophyta; Magnoliopsida; Ericales; Actinidiaceae. The record is from RNAcentral.
UAAAAUAAUAACAAUAACAAUGUCACUACCGACUCAAUAUACAUCAACUACAACGCUAUUACUGGACUCUACAACCAUAAUAAAUUAAAGCUACCAAAUAAUACAUGUUUAUUUAUAUUUUAUUUUACAACAUAGCAAAAGAAAAGUAAAUCUAACAUCCUCCAAUAGUCUUGGGACUAUUUCCACGGUCACAGUGCACGCUCACCUAAAAUGGUUCCCAUGUAUAAAACUUGUAGAAAAAUUUGUGCACGCUCACCUAAAAUGGUUCCCAUGUAUAAAACUUGUAGAAAAAUUUUACAAGUAUAAGUUUGCAAUAAAGUUCACACACAUACACAUCUAGUCUCACAUGUGUGUUAGAAAAAUAGGAAGGAGAGAAAAAGAGGGGGAGAGAGAAUAUCACACACAGCAUACAACUUCACAUAUAAUCUCGCAAUUCUACAAAAGAACAUAUACAUCAACCCUCAAAUUCUAACGAUACAAUAGACAACCAACACACUACUCUAACCAUACCAUAAUCCACACACAUUCGGUCUCACAAUACAAAAAGAGAGAAAGGAGGAGAAUCAACUUCUAGUCAAUGACAUCCUCCUCUACUCCUUACGUAGACAUGUACCACCCGACCAAUUAUCCAUUUUCGCGAAUCAACAUCCUCUUCUACCUGUUAUGUAGGCAUAUUACCCCGAUUACAGUUCCUGAUCCUAGAUUGACAACCUCACACACUCCUUCCUAAGGUAUGUCCAACCUAAGCCACACACAAAUCGCCCAUAGCCACAUACACUAAAUCUAGCCACAAAUACCAACUAUAGGAUGCACGCUCAUCACUUACGUGAACACGUCAACAAGUAACACUCGCAAGGUACUCGAAUAACUAAAUUACAAUAAAAUCCUAAACUUUCAUAUACUCUCUAUAUAAAUCAAAGCAAAUAAUACUUAUCCAAACCAAAAUUUCCCAAUCACAAUCGCUUCCCCAUUUAAACAUAAACUACAGCGUUUAAACAUGCUAUCAUUUUAAUUUGUAUUCAACAUCUUUAACUACGAAAGCAUGUAAAAUCAAUGAAUUCAUAAUUAAGGUCCUUGACCCAGUGCGAAGGCACGUGCGACAACCUCGCAAUGAGCUUUUCUGUCCGUGAAAUAAAUUUGGGGAA